Molecule: non-coding RNA, 806 nt
Filed under: Cryptocephalus tibialis
Lineage: Eukaryota; Metazoa; Arthropoda; Insecta; Coleoptera; Chrysomelidae
Source: RNAcentral
CAAAUAUGCUUACCUAAAAAUAGGGGGGAAUAUAGGUACAUGUCUGGGUUAUGUGAUCAAGCGCAAAAUUAUGACUUAAUUUAAAAAUUAGGUUUAAUUGCUUUGAUUUUCAUACUUACAUUGAUCUAAAAGGGAUAACUAGUAGUAAUUAGUUUUAUUAAUUUCAUAAAUUGUGAGAAAUAGCAAUAGCUUUAAACUCUAACAAAUAUUUGUGCCAGCAGUUGCGGUUAUACAAAAAGGGUAACUUAAUUUUUGUGGUUAAAUAGUUAAUUAAUUUUUUAUUUAAAAGGUUAUAUUGAGAGGUGAAAUUUUAAUAUAAAGAUUAAAUUUAUUUAUAAAGUGAUCUAGAAAAAUUUUAUUAAUAAACCAGGAUUAGAUACCCUGCUAUUAAAAUUGUUUUUUAUCAUACCGGAUUAGUAUUAGUUAAGUUCUUGAAAAUUAAAUAUCUUGGCGGUAUUUCAACCUAUCAGAGGAACCUGUCCUGUAAUUGAUAGUCCACAAUUUAUUAUACUUUUAUAGUUGCUUGUAUAUCGUUGUUAUAUUGAAUAUCUCAUAAGAGAUAUAAUUUUCUUUUGAUAAGAUUUUUAUUUUAAAUCAAAUCAAGGUGCAGCUUCUUGAAGAAGAGAUGGGUUACAUUAAUAAUUUUAAAUUUGUAAAUUUUAUUAUUUUAGGAUUUGAUAGUAAUUAUAUUUAUUAAAAUAUAAUGAAUUGGGCUCUGAAAUAUGUACAUAUCGCCCGUCGCUUUCAUGUUUUUGUGAAAUAAGUCGUAACAUAGUAGAUUUAUCGGAAGAUGAAUCUGGAAUGAC